GACGAACGCUGGCGGCGUGCUUAACACAUGCAAGUCGAACGGUAAGGCCCUUCGGGGUACACGAGUGGCGAACGGGUGAGUAACACGUGGGUGAUCUGCCCUGCACUUCGGGAUAAGCCUGGGAAACUGGGUCUAAUACCGGAUAGGACCACUGCCUGCAUGGGUGGUGGUGGAAAGCUUUUGCGGUAUGGGAUGGGCCCGCGGCCUAUCAGCGUGUUGGUGGGGUGAUGGCCUACCAAGGCGACGACGGGUAGCCGGCCUGAGAGGGUGACCGGCCACAAUGGGACUGAGAUACGGCCCAGACUCCUACGGGAGGCAGCAGGGGGGAAUAUUGCACAAUGGGCGCAAGCCUGAUGCAGCGACGCCGCGUGAGGGAUGACGGCCUUCGGGUUGUAAACCUCUUUCAGCACCGACGAAGCGCAAGUGACGGUAGGUGCAGAAGAAGGACCGGCCAACUACGUGCCAGCAGCCGCAGUAA
RNAcentral lists this ribosomal RNA (478 nucleotides) under uncultured bacterium. RNAcentral's name for it is "partial 16S ribosomal RNA". It matches the Rfam family "Bacterial small subunit ribosomal RNA", at positions 28 to 523 of the family's 1533-position model. The record is from RNAcentral.